CAAGCCAAAAGAACCAAAAAGUCUCAUGUAUAUGUUUAAAGCACACAAGAUCAAAAGAGGGACAGGGAAUAUUCAUGAAGAAAAUUCAAGUAAUUAAUCUAGUGAUACUAGUUGCAGUAUACACAUAAAACUGACCAACUUAACAUUAGCAAUAAGCCUAUAGGUAACUGUUAGAGAAAUGGGGAGAAAACCUUGAAAAAAGAAUUAUUUGAUUAAAAGAUAUAUUUCUACUAUAUAUGAACUCUAAUUCAUAUAAGAUCUCACCAUUCAUUUAUUUUUAUCCCUAAACUUAUAAAUAUUAAUACAACACUAUAAUAAAACAAAACUUUUACAUACAAAAUAGUUGCUGAUGACAUUAUUUUUCAAAAAGUCUUAUUAAUUAUCAGAGUUCCACCACCAUAAUGACAAAUCAUAAUUGCCACAGAAAACAACUUAAGUUUUGAGGAG
Molecule: unclassified non-coding RNA, 447 nt
Filed under: Hevea brasiliensis (rubber tree)
Lineage: Eukaryota; Viridiplantae; Streptophyta; Magnoliopsida; Malpighiales; Euphorbiaceae
Source: RNAcentral